CACGGCUCAUAUAUGUGCUUCCGACUAAUCCAGCUUCUUUUGGUCUAGCUGGGCAUUACUUUGAGUUCAUAUAUGUGCUUGUCACUCCAUAGGUCAUGUGCUUGUCACUUCAUAGGUUAUAGUUUUGCUGUGAACCUAGGCGUGCUAUGUGGGGAAGCAAAGCAGCAGCUCACAACUCCGGCCUGCAACUCCAGAUGAAGGCACUCCGACGAUGCAUCAUGCUACUCCCUUGGAAGGGCUUCCUAGUCCGUGGCCUGCCUUCUGGAUGGAGCAAGGAGGGGGCAUCAUCCACACCGCAGAGCUGGUUG
Triticum aestivum (bread wheat) is the source of this 308-nucleotide long non-coding RNA. RefSeq lists it as uncharacterized. NCBI's taxonomy places the organism in Eukaryota, Viridiplantae, Streptophyta, Magnoliopsida, Poales, Poaceae. The transcript is spliced from 3 exons. The record is from RefSeq and is a predicted model, not a curated record.